Molecule: long non-coding RNA, 513 nt
Filed under: Nicotiana benthamiana
Lineage: Eukaryota; Viridiplantae; Streptophyta; Magnoliopsida; Solanales; Solanaceae
Description: long non-coding RNA (NBEN_LNC025927)
Source: RNAcentral
CUUUUGUCUCUGGCUCUAAUGGCAGCCGGUAAACCAAAUAGGCCAUCUGCUUGUUCGUACUUACCAAACUCCUCCCCUAUUAGAUCUAUCGUCGAUGAAUUAGGGAUCAACUUCUCAAGACAUGCAUGGUAUCCAACCCACCUCUGGAGCCAAAGUUUCCUGACUAGUGUUCUUGUAAAAUAAUCCCGGGUUCAAAAGAUGGUCUGCUGCAUGCAAAGGUCGAUGGAGUUGCUUGUCCCACCUUCUAUCAAUUAUCUCAAAAACUUUCUCAUAUUUCCUAACAUCUCCAUCAAAUGAUGCUGCAAUACUCUCUUUCACUCUAUCCAUAGCUUCAUAAAGAUAGCCCAUUGGUGGUUUUUCUCCCCAUCCACCAUAUGGAGCACCCGAAUCAAAGGAUCACCAACUUUAAAAGCCCGAACGACAUCAUUCCAGAAUGAUGGAGCAAUAAGAAUUUUGGCAACCUCUCUCCCCGCAGCUUCCUUUGCAUAUUUAUUAUCUUUCCAAUCAGUCNNN